RNAcentral lists this ribosomal RNA (449 nucleotides) under uncultured organism. RNAcentral's name for it is "partial 16S ribosomal RNA". It matches the Rfam family "Bacterial small subunit ribosomal RNA", at positions 334 to 799 of the family's 1533-position model. The record is from RNAcentral.
CACUCCUACGGGAGGCAGCAGUGGGGAAUAUUGGACAAUGGGCGCAAGCCUGAUCCAGCCAUGCCGCGUGAGUGAUGAAGGCCCUAGGGUUGUAAAGCUCUUUCACCGGAGAAGAUAAUGACGGUAUCCGGAGAAGAAGCCCCGGCUAACUUCGUGCCAGCAGCCGCGGUAAUACGAAGGGGGCUAGCGUUGUUCGGAAUUACUGGGCGUAAAGCGCACGUAGGCGGAUCGAUCAGUCAGGGGUGAAAUCCCAGGGCUCAACCCUGGAACUGCCUUUGAUACUGUCGAUCUGGAGUAUGGAAGAGGUGAGUGGAAUUCCGAGUGUAGAGGUGAAAUUCGUAGAUAUUCGGAGGAACACCAGUGGCGAAGGCGGCUCACUGGUCCAUUACUGACGCUGAGGUGCGAAAGCGUGGGGAGCAAACAGGAUUAGAUACCCUAGUAGUCCCAUG